UUUUUUUUGAGAUGGAGUCUCACUCUGUCGCCUAGGGUGGAGUGCAGUGGCAUGAUCUCGGCUCACUGCAAGCUCUGCCUCUCAGGUUUAUGCCAUUCUCCUGCCUCAGCCUCCUGAGUAGCUGGAACUACAGGUGCCCGCCACCACGCCUGGCUAAUUUUUUAUAUUUUUUAGUAGAGACAGUGUUUCACCGUGUUAGUCAGGAUGGUCUCGAUCUUCUGACAUCGUGAUCCACCCGCCUCGGCCUCCCAAAGUGCUAGGAUUACAGGCGUGAGUCACUGCACUCAGCCAGGUUUUCAGGUGCUGGUUCCAUGGCUCUUCCUGAGCCGAAAAUAAGGAAACUCCAUAGACCUUGUCCACUGGAACUCGUUCCCAUCUACCCUCCACUCUAUCCAGGGUGAUGGAUCUCUGCAGUAAGUGGAAGAGUUCUUCAUGGCCCCCAAGGUUAUAUCCAUCUAGAACUUCAGCACGUAAUUUCAUCUGGAAAUAGUGCCUUUGCGGAUAUAAGUUAGGUAAAACUGAAGAUGAGAUCAUACUGGAUUAGGAUGGGAUCUAAAUCCAAUGAAAAUGUCUUCAUAAAAAACAGGAAAGAACCCAUAGAAACACAAGGAAGAAGGUCAUGUGAAGAUGGAGGCAGAGAUUGGAGGGAUGCAGCCACCGGCCCAGGAAUGCCAGCAGCCACCCAGAAGCUGGAAGGAAAUGAGGGAUUCUCUCCUAGAACCUUUAGAGAGAACAUGGUCCUGUGAACAGCUUGAUUUUGGACUUGCCCAUAGCUUGUAUACUCUUACUUUGGAUACAAUUUUAUCCAAACUUGGCUAAACAGUUUCUCAGCCUAUGGAAAAUUUAAAAUGGAGAAGAUUCAACUCGAUUCUUACAGAUUCAAAGCAAGAAAAUGAUGGGAACAUAGGAGGAGACCAAGAAAGCCUAUAAAAAGCAAAAAUAUGAAGUGAACAUUGUGGUAGCUUUAAGAUGUUUAGUGUAGCUGCAGGCACCCUAUACACAUGAAAACCCCCAAGGGGAAUCCCCAUAUCACAGUGUAGUGUGAUAUUUGACAUUCGUGAUCAUCUAGAGAUGUACAGAAAAGGUGAAUCUGUGUUCUGUAUAUUCUGCCUAAGGCAAAGAAAUGUUUAGCUCUCUUUAAAAUAGUUCCAUAAUUUUUUCUAAAAAGCUUUGCUUGAAAACUGUAAGCUUCCCAUAUCUGGAGCAUUUCACUUUAAAUAUUUGGAUAAAUAUGUUAUCUUCUUACUUGGACAUUUCAUGUGUUUAGGGAUUGUCUUCUAAAUUCUUCCUAAUUCAUAUAGCUGCUAACACUUCCCGCAGAGCUAAACCAUUACAGAUAUGAAAUAAAGACCUAUUGAUUUGACUUACUUUUACUUGUAAAACCUUCUGAGUGUUAUAACCUCAUUUAAUCUUUCAGCAUUUACAGUUUCAAGAGUUUGUGUCACAAUUAGAAGAAUUCAGCUGCACCUCCAAGUGACAGCAGUUGCUCUGGUUGGUGGGUGAUCUCAGGAGGCUUGAGAAUUGCUUUGUCUGUGAGGGAAGUAAGACAUUUUCAGAGCCCCACUUUAGAAGGUGUGAACUGGCUAGAUAAUGAACCCCAGGGCUAACGCUGCUAUAGCAGUGGGAAGGAGGUGAUGGGUUUUCAGUUUGGACCUCAAACAUCAAUACCCUCCUGGUACGGGGAGGAACAGAGUCCCUCCUUUACUUCUCCAUUAGAAAGAAUGAGAUGGCAAGACAAUGAAACAGGCAAAGUGAACAGAGAUGCAAGACAAAAUUCAGGUGAGAGAGCCAGAGCAUCACUCAGCCAUUCCUGACAUGUAAAACAGGCAACUAGAAAUUUGCAGAAAGGAAGCGAAGUCUCCAUAAAGAUGUUUUUAAAGUGAGCUUGAAGUAUUUGGAGACAAUUCAGUGUUACAUAAAAUCUGCAAAUCUCUGGAUAAAGAAGCAGAGAUCCCAGCAUGGGACAAAUGGAGCCUCAAAAGUGGGAAGAAGACAGAGAAGACCAGGGCAGAAUGCAUCUCUUCCUUUCUCUUGGCUUUCCUGGAUAAGGACUGCAUCAUUCCUGUGGAAGGACAGGCCAUCAGCUCCGAAACACUGUAUGUAUUUUCCAGUAUAUACUGCUAGCUGUGUGAUGUUGGGAAAAUUUGUUACCCUGUCUAACCCCCACUUCCCUCAUCUGUAAAAUGGAAAUAAUGAUAGUACCUACCUAUCUCAUAGGUGGCAACUACAAGGGGCAGCACACUCAGGGAAUUAAGGAAGUUUCAGUGAACAUCAACUUUAUGAACACAGUGUUCAUAAAGGCAGGUCAGUGCAGUGGUUUGGGAGCCAGGAGAAGCACGUGGGCCGGAGUGUGCCUGCAGGAGACAAGGUCAGAGAUGUUGCUAAUAAUGGAGAAUAAAGGAUGC
RNAcentral lists this long non-coding RNA (2405 nucleotides) under Homo sapiens (human). Its description in RNAcentral is "HSALNT0387265". The record is from RNAcentral. Lineage: Eukaryota; Metazoa; Chordata; Mammalia; Primates; Hominidae.